ACGGCGAGUGAAGCGGGAUGAGCUCAAGCUUAAAAUCUCCGUACAAGUUUUGUAUGGCGAAUUGUAGUCUAUAGAGGCGUGGUCAGCGUGGGCGCUUGGGGUAAGUUCCUUGGAAGAGGACAGCAUGGAGGGUGAUACUCCCGUUCAUCCCUGAGUGGCUCGUGCGUACGACCCGUUUUCUUUGAGUCGCGUUGUUUGGGAAUGCAGCGCAAAGUAGGUGGUAAAUUCCAUCUAAAGCUAAAUAUUGGUGCGAGACCGAUAGCGAACAAGUACCGUGAGGGAAAGAUGAAAAGAACUUUGAAAAGAGAGUUAAAGAGUACCUGAAACUGCUGAAAGGGAACCGAAUCGUUUCCAGUGUCUAUAAUCCGUGGUAUAUUUCAUUGGCGAGUGUGUGCGUGCGUGUGCUGUGGCAGUGGCUUUUUUGGCUGCGCUCGGCGUGUGUGCUGUGUGUGCUUGCUGGUGCCCUGUGCUGCGGUGGGACGUCAAGGUCAGUUCGUAUGCUGCGGGAAAUGGCUGCCGAGGAGGUAGGGCUUACGCUUGCGUUUGUCUGUUAUAUCUUGGUGGACGAGUUGUCGCGGUUGGGACUGAGGUGCCUACAACGUGCUUUUGAGUGAGUUUGUGUCUCCGUGUGCGCCGUGUGUGGAUAGCUUGCUAUGUAUGUGCGGUUGUGUGUGGAUUGAUGCGGGCUUUAACUUGUUGCCGUUCGGGACGUUGGCGAAAUGGAGCGAUCCGACCCGUCUUGAAACACGGACCAAGGAGUCUAACAUGUGUGCAAGUGUUAGGGUGUGGAAACCCCAGCGCGAAAUGAAAGUGAAGGGCAGCGCAAGUUGUCUGAGGUAGGAAACGUUGUGGACUUCGGUCUGCGGCGUGGCACUAUCGACCGAUCAUGAACCUUCGUGGUGAAAGAUUUGAGUUUGAGCACAUAUGUUGGUACCCGAAAGAUGGUGAACUAUGCCUGAGUAGGGUGAAGCCAGGGGAAACUCUGGUGGAAGCUCGUAGCGAUUCUGACGUGCAAAUCGAUCGUCAAACUUGGGUAUAGGGGCGAAAGACUAAUCGAACCAUCUAGUAGCUGGUUCCCUCCGAAAUUUCCCUCAGGAUAGCAGCAACUUAUUUACGAUAGUUUUAUGAGGUAAAGCGAAUGAUUAGAGGAUUCGGGGAAGAAACUUCCUCGACCUAUUCUCAAACUUUAAAUCUGUAAGACCUGCAGGUUUCUUAAUUGAACUUGUGG
This 1228-nucleotide ribosomal RNA is filed under the name Pseudoperonospora sp. RNAcentral describes it as "partial 28S ribosomal RNA". It matches the Rfam family "Eukaryotic large subunit ribosomal RNA", at positions 86 to 1106 of the family's 3401-position model. Lineage: Eukaryota; Oomycota; Peronosporomycetes; Peronosporales; Peronosporaceae. The record is from RNAcentral.